This 301-nucleotide ribosomal RNA is filed under the name uncultured bacterium. RNAcentral's name for it is "partial 16S ribosomal RNA". It matches the Rfam family "Bacterial small subunit ribosomal RNA", at positions 509 to 807 of the family's 1533-position model. The record is from RNAcentral.
CAGUCGCCGCGGGAAUACGUAGGGUGCAAGCGUUAAUCGGAAUCACUGGGCGUAAAGCGUGCGCAGGCGGUUAUAUAAGACAGAUGUGAAAUCCCCGGGCUCAACCUGGGAACUGCAUUUGUGACUGUAUAGCUAGAGUACGGCAGAGGGGGAUGGAAUUCCGCGUGUAGCAGUGAAAUGCGUAGAUAUGCGGAGGAACACCGAUGGCGAAGGCAAUCCCCUGGGCCUGUACUGACGCUCAUGCACGAAAGCGUGGGGAGCAAACAGGAUUAGAUACCCGCGUAGUCCCUGUCUCUUAUAC